RNAcentral lists this ribosomal RNA (348 nucleotides) under Triticum aestivum (bread wheat). Its description in RNAcentral is "partial small subunit ribosomal RNA". The record is from RNAcentral. Lineage: Eukaryota; Viridiplantae; Streptophyta; Magnoliopsida; Poales; Poaceae.
AUGCCUUGUUCAUGUGUGGUGUGUUUACUAUGUUGUGUGCUUCUUCUCGAUAGCUCCCGUUUCGUUGCGAUCGUGAGGAUUCGUUCGUCUACGCUUGGUUCGUCUAUGUGGCUUCAUCUUCUUCAUGGACUCGUUCUUCUUCCUAGCGGGAUUUCAGGAAAGAUGACCGCUACCCUAGAUCUCACUACUAUCAUUGCUAUGCUAGUUGCUUCGAUCUAUCGCUAUGCUGCGUUACCUAUCAUUUGCUCUUCAAGCCUCCCAAAUUGCCAUGAACCUCUAACCUUUGACACCAUUCCUAGCAAACCGUUGUUUGGCUAUGUUACCGCUUUUGCUCAGCCCCUCUUAUAG